This 279-nucleotide ribosomal RNA is filed under the name uncultured Eubacteriales bacterium. Its description in RNAcentral is "uncultured Clostridiales bacterium partial 16S ribosomal RNA". It matches the Rfam family "Bacterial small subunit ribosomal RNA", at positions 70 to 339 of the family's 1533-position model. The record is from RNAcentral. Lineage: Bacteria; Bacillati; Bacillota; Clostridia; Eubacteriales.
AAAGAUUCUUCGGAGGAUUUCCUAUUUGACUGAGCGGCGGACGGGUGAGUAACGCGUGGGUAACCUGCCUCAUACAGGGGGAUAACAGUUAGAAAUGACUGCUAAUACCGCGUAAGACCACAGCCUCACAUGGGGCAGGGGUCAAAGGAGCAAUCCGGAUAAAGAUGGGCUCGCGUCUGAUUAGCUAGUUGGUGAGGUAACGGCCCACCAAGGCGACGAUUGGUAGCCGGACUGAGAGGUUGAACGGCCACAUUGGGACUGAGACACGGCCCAGACUCC